This 74-nucleotide transfer RNA is filed under the name Escherichia coli. Its description in RNAcentral is "tRNA-Asp". It matches the Rfam family "tRNA". From Rfam's summary of the family: Transfer RNA (tRNA) molecules are approximately 80 nucleotides in length. Their secondary structure includes four short double-helical elements and three loops (D, anti-codon, and T loops). Lineage: Bacteria; Pseudomonadati; Pseudomonadota; Gammaproteobacteria; Enterobacterales; Enterobacteriaceae. The record is from RNAcentral. RNAcentral also lists the same sequence under 63 other names.
GGGAUUGUAGUUCAAUUGGUGAGAGCACCGCCCUGUCAAGGCGGAAGCUGCGGGUUCGAGCCCCGUCAGUCCCG